Molecule: non-coding RNA, 72 nt
Organism: Pangasianodon gigas (Mekong giant catfish)
Lineage: Eukaryota; Metazoa; Chordata; Actinopteri; Siluriformes; Pangasiidae
Source: the annotation of a GenBank genome assembly
UCCCUGGUGGACUAGUGGCUAGCAUGCGGCCCUUUCACUGCUGCAGCCAGGGUUCAAUUCCUGGUCAGGGAA